CAGUGUGGUGCAACCAACAUAAUUGUACGUAUUUAUUGUUUUAGUGGUAAAUUAUUUAUUUAUUAUUAUUGAGAUGAAACAAAAGUAUGUUAAGUGUUUUAAAGAAGAGUACACAUGUCAUUUUAACUCCAUGCUAUUUGUUUUAAAGAGGAUAUCCUAUCAACCAAUUUGAACCUGCCCAAUGAUGAUUAGAUUAAAUCAA
This 202-nucleotide long non-coding RNA is filed under the name Vigna radiata. Its description in RNAcentral is "long non-coding RNA (VRAD_LNC000947)". Lineage: Eukaryota; Viridiplantae; Streptophyta; Magnoliopsida; Fabales; Fabaceae. The record is from RNAcentral.